RNAcentral lists this ribosomal RNA (200 nucleotides) under uncultured eukaryote. RNAcentral's name for it is "partial 18S ribosomal RNA". The record is from RNAcentral.
GCUCCAGUAGUGUAUAUUAAUGUUGUUGCAGUUAAAAAGCUCGUAGUCGGAAAGGAGCGUGGGGGCGUGAGGGUGCGCAAGGAAUUGCGUGUCUGAGGCGAGCCGCCUUAGAGUUCAUACACCAGCUGAUCUCUUGAUUGGGAUUGGAGCCAGAGGCGCGUUGCGGGUGCGGCGUGCUGGGGGGUAUGAUAGGUUACCUU